Molecule: long non-coding RNA, 9458 nt
Filed under: Triticum aestivum (bread wheat)
Lineage: Eukaryota; Viridiplantae; Streptophyta; Magnoliopsida; Poales; Poaceae
Description: long non-coding RNA (TAES_LNC020072)
Source: RNAcentral
UCGAAGCUCACAUAGAAAUAAUUAUACGUUGCACUAGUCAUCCCAUUAUGUCCCAUUAGGUCAAAGAAAAUAAUAUGGUUGUAGAAAUAUUAUAGCUGUUUGUACCGAAGGUUCAUCCCUCUCUUCAUGCUCCCUUGAAUCAUUUAGGGAUUUCAAAUGGAGAGAAUUCUGACCCUUUGGUUUUCUCAUAGAGAAAUGCACUAAACAAAUCCAAUUUUCUAGAAAAUAACAGAAAAACUGAAAUAUUAUGUUGAUGAGUCUGCAUUGUAAUAAAAAACAACAGAGAACUAAAAGAUGUAUAUCAUAUUCAUCUAUGGUGGUUGAUGAGUUGGACUUUCCGUAGGUUCCUUAACAAUUGUACAAUUAAUAAUCAUCACCUUUAUCAAAUAAAAGGCACUACGUAGUUACGAAAGAAGCAUGCAUACAAAAGAAACUAUUGGCUGUAAAGCAUGAGACAAGGAAUGAGACAACUACUACAAACUUGAUAGAAUGCUACUACACAUGCUUGGAUCUACAAUGAUCUACAUUUGUACGGAGAUCAUGCCAUGUUCUGCAAAAUAGGCAAUAGAAGAACUAAUCAUCGAUAUAGAGAACGGCUAGCAUAAUAAUCCACUUGUUACAAACAUAUAUAUUAAAUUUUGUCAUGCUGUUGGUACGAAAUAUGCAUGAUGCCCUCGUAAUUAAAGCCUGAUAACAAAUGUAGUUAAAUAUUUUGUUGUCAGACCUAUGGGGUUGUAUCUAAAAAAUAUUUUGCUCAACAACUGAAGAUGCCUUAACCACAAUGUAGGAAGUUCACAAAUCUGGCUUGGUUUUUAGUUCUCAUAGUCACUGACUUCAGGGAAAAAUAGACGUGAGAGUGUGCAUAUGUAUAAAGAAUUAAAGAUAGAUGAGACCCAUUUUGCAGUUUCUGAACGUGUUUCUCCUUUCUCAUUGAAAGAAGACCAGAAGUAAACCACACCACCAACCUAUAGAUGAAAUUCUCUGAAAGCUUUCAUACCCGUCGCACUGGAGAUAGAAGGGAUACUGAAUUGCAUAUAGCAUUAUAGCUUCAAAAAACAUUGCUUGUAAAUAAAUAUAGAUGAGAAUGAUAUUGCAACUUCUGGUUCGAAUGUGCAUUGCUACCUCUUGAGCAUUGCGUUGGUUUUCCCUCGAAGAGGAAAGGGUGAUGCAGUAAAGUAGCGUAAGUAUUUCCCUCAGUUUUUGAGAGCCAAGGUGUCAACACAGUAGGAGAUCUUGCUCAAGUCCCACGCACCUACACAAACAAAUAAGAACCUCGUAACCAACGCGAUAAAGGGGUUGUCAAUCCCUUCACGGUCACUUACGAGAGUGAGAUUUGAUAGAUAUGAUAAGAUAAUAUUUUUGGUGUUUUUAUGAUAAAUAUAAAUAAAGAUGCAAAGUAAAAUAAAUUACAAUGGAAUUAACUAAGUAUUGGAAGAUUAAUAUGAUAGAAGAUAGACCCGGGGGCUAUAGGUUUCACUAGUGGCUUCUCUCAAGAGCAUAAGUAUUACCAUGGGUAAACGAAUUACUGUCGAGCAAUUGAUAGAAUUGAGCAUAGUUAUGAGAAUAUCUAGGUAUGAGCAUGUAUAUAGGCAUCACGUCCGAGACAAGUAGACCGAAACGAUUCUGCAUCUACUACUAUUACUCCACACAUCGACCGCUAUCCAGCAUGCAUCUAGAGUAUUAAGUUCAGAAGAACAGAGUAAUGCUUUAAGUAAGAUGACAUGACAUAGAGGGAUAAACUCAUGCAAUAUGAUAUAAACCCCAUCUUUUUAUCCUCGAUGGCAACAAUACAAUACGUGUUGAUUCCCUUUCUGUCACUGGGAUCGAGCACCGUAAGAUUGAACCCAAAGCUAAGCACUUCUCCCAUUGCAAGAAAGAUCAAUCUAGUAGGCCAAACAAAACUGAUAAUUCGAAGAGACUUGCAAAGAUAAACCAAUCAUACAUAAAAGAAUUCAGAUGAGAAUCAAAUAUUGUUCAUAGAUAAUCUGGAUCAUAAACCCACAAUUCAUCGAAUCUCGACAAACACACUGCAAAAGAAGAUUACAUCGAAUAGAUCUCCAAGAAGAUUGAGGAGAACUUUGUAUUGAGAUCCAAAGAGAGAGAAGAAGCCAUCUAGCUAAUAACUAUGGACCCGUAGGUCUGAAAUAAACUACUCACACAUCACCGGAGAGGCCAUCGAGUUGAUGUAGAGGCCCUCCGUGAUCGAUACCCCCUCCGGCGGAGCUCCGGAAAAGGCCCCAAGAUGGGAUCUCUCAAGUACAGAAGGUUGCGGUGGUAGAAUUAGGUUUUCGUGGUGCUCCUGGAUGUGGGGGGGGGGGUACGUAGAUAUAUAUAGGAGGAAGAAGUACGUCGGUGGAGCAACGGAGGGCCCACAAGGGUGGAGGGCGCGCCCAGGGGGGGUAGGCGCGCCCCCUGCCUUGUGCCUUCCUCCGUUGUUUCUUGACGCACACUCCAAGUCUCCUAGAUCACAUUCGUUGAGAAAAUCACGUUCCUGAAGGUUUCAUUCCGUUUGGACUCCGUUUGAUAUUCCUUUUCUUCGAAACCCUAAAAUAGGCAAAAAACUGCAAUUUGGGUUGGGCCUCCGAUUAGUAGGUUAGUCCAAAAAAUGAUAUAAAAGUGUAAAAUAAAGCCCAUUAACAUCCAAAAUAGAUAAUAUAAUAGCAUGGAGCAAUCAAAAAUUAUAGAUACGUUGAAGACGUAUAAAUCAUCCCCAAGCUUAAUUCCUGCUCGUCCUCGAGUAGGUAAAUGAUAAAAGAAAGAAUUUUUGAUGUGGAAUGCUUUCUAACAUAUUUCUCAAUGUAAUUUUUCUUUAAUGUGGCAUGAAUGUUCAGAUCCAUAAGAUUCAAGACAAAAGUUUAAUAUUGACAUAAAAAUAAUAGUACUUCAAGCAUACUAACUAAGCAAUUAUGUCUUCUCAAAAUAACAUGGACAAAGAAAGUUAUCCCUACAAAAUCAUAUAGUCUGGCUAUGCUCUAUAUUCACCACACAAAAUAUUUAAAUCAUGCACAACCCCGAUGACAAGCCAAGCAAUUGUUUCAUACUAUUGAUGUUCUCAAACUUUUUCAAUCUUCACGCAAUAUAUGAGCAUGAGCCAUGGAUAUAGCACUAUAUGGUGGAAUAGAAUGGUGGUUGUGGAGAAGACAAAAAAGGAGAAUAUAGUCUCACAUCAACUAGGCAUAUCAAUGGGCUAUGGAGAUGCCCAUCAAUAGAUAUCGAUGUGAGUGAGUAGGGAUUGCCAUGCAACGGAUGCACUAGAGCUAUAAGUAUAUGAAAGCUCAACAAAAGAAACUAAGUGUGUGUGCAUCCAACUUGCUUGCUCAUGAAGAUCUAGGGCAAUUUGAGGAAGCUCAUCAUUGGAAUAUACAAGCCAAGUUCUAUAAUGAAAAAUUCCCACUAGUAUAUGAAAGUGAUAUCAUAGGAGACUCUCUAUCAUGAAGAUCAUGGUGCUACUUUGAAGCACAAGUGUGGAAAAAGAAUAGUAACAUUGUCCCUUCUCUCUUUUUCUCUCAUUCUUUUCUUUUUUUUCUUUGGGCCUUCUUUAUUUUUUUCUCUUUGGCCACUUUUCUCUCUUUUUUAAAAUUUUCGUCCAGAGUCUCAUCUAGACUUGUGGGGGAAUCAAAGUCUCCAUCAUCCUUUCCUCACUGGGACAAUGCUCUAAUGAUGAUGAUCAUCACACUUUAUUUACAUACAACUCAAAACUCACAUCUCGAUACUUAGAACAAGAUAUGACUCUAUGUGAAUGCCUCCGGCGGUUUAUCGGGAUGUGCAAUGAUGCAUGAGUGACAUGUAUGAAAAUUAUGAACGGUGGCUUUGGCACAAAUACAAUGUCAACUACAUGAUCAUGCAAGCAAUAUGACAAUGAUGAAGCGUGUCAUAAUAACGGAAUGAUGGAAAGUUGCAUGGCAAUAUAUCUCGGAAUGGCUAUUGAAAUGCCAUAAUAGGUAGGUAUGGUGGCUGUUUUGAGGAAGGUAUAUGGUGGGUUUAUGGUACCGGUGAAACUUGCGCGAUACUAGAGAGGCUAGCAAUGGUGGAAGGGUGAGAGUGCGUAUAAUCCAUGGACUCAACAUUAGUCAUAAAGAACUCACAUACUUAUUGCAAAAAUCUACAAGUUAUCAAAGCAAAGUAUUAUGCGCAUGCUCCUAGGGGGAUAGAUUGGUAGGAAAAGACCAUCGCUCAUCCCCGACCGCCACUCAUAAGGAAGACAAUCAAUAAACAAAAUCAUGCUCCGAAUUCAUCACAUAAUGGUUCACCAUACGUGCAUGCUACGGGAAUCACAAAUUUUAACACAAGUAUUUCUCAAAUUCACAACUACUCAACUAGCAUGACUCUAAUAUCACCAUCUCCAUAUCUCAAAACAAUUAUCAAGUAUCAAACUUCUCAUAGUAUUUAAUGCACUUGUAUGAAAGUUUUUAUUAUUGCCAUGUUGUUCUAAAGGACUCUCAAAUAAUAUAAGUGAAGCAUGAGAGAACAAUUAUUUCUAUAAAAUAAAACCACCACCGUUCUCUAAAAGAUAUAAGUGAAGAACUACAGCAAAAACUAUAUAGCUCAGAAGAUAUAAGUGAAGCACUAGAGGAAAAAUUAUAUAGCUCAAAAGAUAUAAGUGAAGCACAUAGAGUAUUCUAAUAGGCGGAAGAGGCCCCGAGAUGGGAUCUCACGGGUACAGAAGGUUGCGGCGGUGGAAAAGUGGUUUCCUGGCUCUCUGCGAUUUUUCUAGGGUAUAAGAGUAUAUAUAGGCGGAAGAAGUACGUCGGUGGAGCUACGAGGGGCUCACGAGAGUGGGGGUGUGCCUACCCCCCUAGGCACGCCCUCCUGCCUCAUGGCCGCCUCGCAGAGUUCCAGACUUCAACUCCAAGUCUUCUGGAAUGCUUUCGGUCCAAGAAAUAUCAUCGCGAAGGUUUCAUUCCGUUUGGAUUCCAUUUGGUAUUCCUUUUUCUGUGAAACUCUAAAAUAGGCAAAAAAAAAAGAAACUGGCAGUGGCCUCCGAUUAAUAGGUUAGUCCCAAAAUAUAUAUAAAAGAGCAUAUUAAAGCCCAUUAAACAUCCAAAAUAGAUAAUAUAAUAGCAUGGAACAAUCAAAAAUUAUAGAUACAUUGGAGACGUAUCAAGCGAUCCUGGACCUCGUCAUGAUCGGCCCGCUCGCGCUCCAGCCAGCUCGUGUGACCGCCUAUAGUAUCUCUCACUUUCUGCAACAACGUCGCCGACGGCUCAAGCAUGACUCUUUCCACUUUUGAAGCUCUGUGAACUCUCGCACAUAAAGGAGGGGCAUGGCACUUCUCUCCUCUUGAGCUCACGGGGCUCCACAUCCUUGGCCCUGAGAUCCGCAUCCUUGGCCUGGAGCUCCUCUGUCAGGCGACUCUCCUCAGACUCUGUGAUCUAGUGCGCCACCAUGGAACUAGGUAGAAGCAAUGGGGAGAGGAAGGAAAGGGGGCGAAACGACUGAAUGGCAAUGUAAUCUACGGGAAGGCGGAGAGAUCCAGCCGAGGAACGGGGUGAAUCUUUUGGUUUUCUCCAUGGGAAUACCCCAGUCGAUGACUUUUCACAUCAGGGGUCAGUGGGUUUUACAGGCGGAGUCAUCAUGAUUAAUUGCUGCCACGCGUGCUCUUGUCUAAAAAAUAAAAAUCCUGUCACGCCUGCCGCAACCGAAGACCAAAGCAACUCAGGGUAGAUAUUUAAAUUUACCUACCAGCAAUGAGAGAGAAAAAAGGUGGAAAAACAAAUGUGGCGGCGGCCUAGCUAAACGGUCACACUAGCCCAACUAGCUAGCCACCAUGCUUCACUAAUGUACUCGACGGGAAAGGUGGGCUUUUGUGAUUUGACAGCUCAUUUACUUGCUUCGGCGCUACGACCAAGGAGGACCCAAAAACCACGUUGUAGGGCGUCCUAUGUCUCAGCAAGGAAGAAAAUAUGCGUGGACCACCCUGGAGGACCCAGAAACCACGCGGUAGGGUGUGCCACGUCUUGGCACAGAGGAAAAAUAUGCAUGCAAAAAGUAUCAGAUGUACUACCUAUGGUUUGAACUCGAGACCCAACCAGUCGAUCGAAAACACUGCACAAGCCACACAGCUUCCUUAUGCUAACAUGGCACGGAGGAUAGGUGUGUUUAGCUCUGUCUUGACCAGCGACAACGUCUCUUGUUCUAGGCGAUUCAUUUAUUUUCCAAGAAUUUUUUUAGUUAUAAUAACAGCACUGCAAGCUCGCGCCGCUCUUCGUGUUUUCCCGUGCAUCUAAAGGUUGUACUAGAUGGAGAGGAGAGAGAGAUCACAGGCAUGGGACCCACCAGUAAGUGAGUCAACGUUCAUGCAUGUGUUGACGAGCCACUCCCUCUACUCCGCUCAACGUAAUACUGUAUAAAAUCAAGUUAUGCGACAAAGCCAACAACUGUUGCUGUUUCAGGCUAUCGGCGUACGCUUUGUAGACCAGGUUGUCACUUCAAAUCUCGUCUUUCUGAGUUGUUAGUUUUAGCUCCAAAUUUGAUUAAUGACAAGUGGGAACCCCGUGUGUUGUUCCAAUAUUUCAGUGUAGGAGGUUUUUUUGCGCAAACACUUUGCGCAGUUAGACAAGUUACGACACCAGUUACACAUAUUUUGCAAGUUUAGGAAUAAACUAGCAAAAAUGCCCAUCCGUUGCAAUGGGAGAACAAAACAUAUCAGAACCCAUCCCUCCUUGCCAAUAAAUGCUUGUCUCCGUCCUUUAUUUCAACACAUUACCCCACAUGUAUUGUUGCUUAUAUUCCUUCCUACCCUCAUCGACAGUUGCGGUGAUGUCCACCUUGCGUCAUAUUCUUAAUCCUGCUAAAUAUAAUUUGAUGCAAGAACAUGAGAGGUUAACUAUUGUGGGGGAAAUUCAGUAGUGGGUAUCCAAAAAUAAGUGACAUGCACAUUUGAAGUUCCCCAUGUGUUGCAACGGGAGAAGAAAACCUACCAUGUCCCAUCCAUUGUCGCCAAUACGCACUUGCAUCCAUCCUUUAUUUCAACACAAUACCCCACAUGCAUUGCAUCUUCUAUUCCUUUAUGCCCUCGUCAAUGGUGGUAGUGAUCUCCACCUUCCAUCACAUUCUAAAUACUACUAAAAAAAUCUAAUGCAAGAACAUAAAAGUUUAACUAUAGUGCGGGAAUUCAGUAAUGGGUAUCCAAAAAUAUGUGACAUGCACAUUUGAAGUUUCUUUGCUUGAUACAAUGAAAUCUUCUAUGGCAUGUGUAUAACAAAUUCUGACUUGUAGUCAUAUGUUUAUCCAAAAAUAUAUCCGAUAGCGUUGCCUUCUCCUUGAACACUAAAUACAGGCUUCCCAACAAUAAAUAAUGGAGGCAACAACUAAGAGAAUAAGAAGAAUCUAAGUGAAACCUUCCGCGUGUGCAUGAACUCUAACGAUAAAUAACUACAUGAUUGUUUACAUGUAUGAAAAUCAAUCAUCAAAGUAGAAAAACAAUGUGACUGUUCAAAAAAAUCUACUCCACGGACUAAAACACAUGUAGUCCUUGUUUGGAUGCGGGGCUAGCUAUUUCCAGGUAAAAUACGACCUGGGUAGGAUAUUCUUGGCAAAAUUAAAACCCUGUGGAGAAUCACCUGACCAUUUGGGAGAGAAGGGGAUGCUAGCGUCUUCUUUCCUAGCGAGAGCAGAGCUGGCCGCGAGGCUAACGGCAGCGCAGAACUUCGCGAGCGGCACAUAUAGGGAGAUUUUUUCCGAUGUGAUGAGGUGAGGGUUUCCUAUCCAGGGAAAUCAGGGUGGGUUGGGGAUGGAAAGGCCUCUCCCUCGCGACACCAAAUUGGCAUGUGUAAAGACCUGGGCGAAAUUAACUCGGGAUCUUCCCUCCUAGGGAAACGACGGGGAUCCCGGGGGGGAUCCCUUACUAAAAAACUAGGCCGUAGGGGGAAUUAUUGGUCUAUUAUACCUAGUAUUGUAAGAAUAAAUAAAUAAUCUUCUAAUAUUUUCUCACUACUCCUCACAAGUCAAUAAACUAACCGGUCAACAUGCUAUACAUCCCUUCACCCCUUGUACUAAUCUAAUAUAGAGAUAAAAAAUAGACCUCCGGCCCUUUCUAUUCUUUGUCUGCUUCAUCUACAUUGGGGAUCCAUAGACGAAUAUAUGUUGAAUAGAUGACAAAGCUCUAGCUGAAGCAAACCUCACAAACAUAAAUUAUGGAUGUUUGUGUGAAUUGUUUUUUAAUUAAUUUUCAUGUUGCCAAUUUCAAUCAAAUUCAAUGUUUUUUGAAUUCAGACCCUCCAAAUACCCGCUCGAUGCGCGAGCUAGGACUUUGGAAAGUUUAAUAAUUAAUCUCCAACUCCAUACAAACAUACCUGAAUGGUUAAAGAAUAAUUUAAAAAAUGCACACAUAUCAACCUCUUUAAGCACUCCAUUAAUAUUGUCGUUAAUUUUUUCAACAUAUUUAUAUUUCCAAAUGGGUUUUCAAUUUAUAUCUUCUUAUGGCGAUGCUUGAUAACACUUAUCUGUUUGUGGACGAAUUGGCUUGACCAAGUGAUGCUAGAUUGGUAGUUGGAUGGAACAAACACAUAAAUAUGUACUCAUCAAUUGUUUUCAAUUUAUAUCUUGUCAUGGUGAUGGUUGAUAAUACUUACUUUUUUCUGGUCGAAUUAGUUUGACUAGUUGAUGAAAUAUAGGUAGUUGGAUGGAAUAUACACAUAAGAAAAUAUGUACUCAUCAUUUUAGUGAAACACUAAGUUUUCUGUAGCUUUUGUAGGUGGAGGUGUGUGUUAAGUUCUCCAAGAAGAUUAUCCACCAUCAAUGGCCAUGAAAAAUUAAAUGCUUGGGAGGAGAGUAGCCAAUUGUACUAGGGUUAAUUUGAUAAAUGCCACUCCAAAUCCGGUGAUUCCGAGAAAUUCCACUGCAAUUUCCAAACUUUGGAAAUGCCAUUUCCAGUGGCAUUUUUCGAAGUUUGGAGUGACGUUUUUAAAGUUUGCAAACAUUGAAGUGACAUUUUUCAAAGUUUGGAAAUUGCGGUGGCAUUUUUAUGAAUCGCCAUCACUGAAGUGACAUUUAUCUAAUUAACCCAUUAUAUUAUCAUUUGAAUCCACACAAAUAGACUGAACAAACAUGAUGAAAAGAUGUAAGAUAAUCCCCGACAAGAUUAUAAGGUAUGGGUUGCAUUGCAUAGUGAUCCCCUUAGUAGUUGGAGUUUAGUGUGGCCCGUCCAUGUGCACACCCCGCGUUACCUCGCCUCACAUGUUCUUGGCCCUCUAAAAUGCGACGGCAUGGUCCUUAUUGUGUCGAAGCUCACACAGAAAUAAUUAUACGUUGCACUAGUCAUCCCAUUAUGUCCCAUUAGGUCAAAGAAAAUAAUAUGGUUGUAGAAAUAUUAUAGAUGUUUGUACCAAAGGUUCAUCCCUCUCUUCAUGCUCCCUUGAAUCAUUUAGGGCUUUCAAAUGGAGAGAAUUCUGACCCUUUGAUUUUCUCAUAGAGAAAUGCACUAAACAAAUCCGAUUUUCUAGAAAAAACAGAAAAAC